AUACGGAGGGUGCGAGCGUUAAUCGGAAUUACUGGGCGUAAAGCGUACGUAGGCGGUUGGUUAAGUUAGAUGUGAAAGCCCCGGGCUUAACCUGGGAACUGCAUUUAAAACUGGCGAACUAGAGUUGAGUAGAGGGGAGUGGAAUUUCAGGUGUAGCGGUGAAAUGCGUAGAGAUCUGAAGGAACACCAGUGGCGAAGGCGACUCCCUGGACGCGAACUGACGCUGAGGUACGAAAGCGUGGGUAGCAAACGGAAUUAGAAACCCUAGUAGUCC
RNAcentral lists this ribosomal RNA (274 nucleotides) under uncultured bacterium. RNAcentral describes it as "partial 16S ribosomal RNA". It matches the Rfam family "Bacterial small subunit ribosomal RNA", at positions 523 to 796 of the family's 1533-position model. The record is from RNAcentral.